UAUGGUGCCGCCGCGGUAAUACGUAUGGUGCAAGCGUUAUCCGGAUUUACUGGGUGUAAAGGGUGAGUAGGCGGUCAUGCAAGUCAUAUGUGAAAUGUCAGGGCUUAACCUUGGCGCUGCAUAAGAAACUGUAUGACUAGAGUGCAGGAGAGGUAAGCGGAAUUCCUAGUGUAGCGGUGAAAUGCGUAGAUAUUAGGAAGAACACCGGUGGCGAAGGCGGCUUACUGGACUGUUACUGACGCUGAGUCACGAAAGCGUGGGGAGCAAACAGG
RNAcentral lists this ribosomal RNA (272 nucleotides) under [Clostridium] colinum. RNAcentral's name for it is "partial 16S ribosomal RNA". It matches the Rfam family "Bacterial small subunit ribosomal RNA", at positions 502 to 776 of the family's 1533-position model. Lineage: Bacteria; Bacillati; Bacillota; Clostridia; Lachnospirales; Lachnospiraceae. The record is from RNAcentral.